RNAcentral lists this long non-coding RNA (767 nucleotides) under Cricetulus griseus (Chinese hamster). RNAcentral describes it as "lncRNA (ENSCGRG00000025937.1)". Lineage: Eukaryota; Metazoa; Chordata; Mammalia; Rodentia; Cricetidae. The record is from RNAcentral.
AGUUAUUUCAAGUCCGGUCUAUUCUCAAGAGGCUCCUAGACUCCACUGAGCUUCACUCUCCUUUCCUGCAGCACCCGAAGAAGCUUAAUUAUGUUGCCAUCAGAGGAGUCCCUGGUGGUUUCAUUGUCUGCAUUUCUUGAUUUAUCAGCAAACAACAACAACAAAAAACCGCACACUCCUACAACAGAAAAACCCACACCAGAGAAGCACAGAAAGCCUUCCACAAAUGGAGAGAAAGGAGAAUUCUGUGUCGUAUAUAGAAACAACCAGCAACUUCUGAGAUGAAUAUUUAUUCUUUAAAGCUCCUGGUAUUUGUGCUGUAUACAUUGUCAUCGUUAAAAAUGUGAAGGCGGUCAAUAAACUCUCCAAACAGAGCAACCUCUUGGGCUUGUGAGCAUCUGCAAGAAGAAAAUUUCAUACCCUACAGCCUGGAAAAGGAAAUGCCUCAACCAAUUUUCCUGCACAGUGUGGAUGGAGUGACAAACACCUUCCCAGAGAGCCUCCAAGGAGGCAAACAAGGCAGAGGAGAGAAAGAACAUAGAAAAAUCCAUGUCUUGCAAAUGCCAAGAGAGAAAACAAUCAAAUUAUCUGGUGCCUGCUGUCUUCUUCUGAUCACCAGCCAGGUUCAGGGGGAGGGGAAUCCAUAUCCAUCCGGUUCAUUCCUUUCCCUGAACACACUCCUGCAUCUCAGGAAUCAGAUAACAGCAGGUGCUGUGACAUUAUGGCAAACAUUCUUGUCCUGGAGGAGUGGAUGUGUCACCUACUGA